GUGUCAGCAGCCGCGGUAAUACGGAAGGGGCAAGCGUUGUUCGGAAUUAUUGGGCGUAAAGGGCGUGUAGGCGGCUUCGCAGGUCGGUGGUGAAAGCAUACAGCUCAACUGUAUUGAGCCACGGAAACGGCGGAGCUUGAGGCUGGGAGGGGCUGGUGGAAUUCCCUGUGUAGCGGUGAAAUGCGUAGAGAUGGGGGAGAACACUCGUGGCGAAGGCGGCCAGCUGGACCAGUUCUGACGCUGAGACGCGAAAGCGUGGGGAGCAAACAGGAUUAGAAACCCGAGUAGUCC
Molecule: ribosomal RNA, 291 nt
Filed under: uncultured bacterium
Lineage: Bacteria
Description: partial 16S ribosomal RNA
Rfam family: Bacterial small subunit ribosomal RNA
Source: RNAcentral